RNAcentral lists this ribosomal RNA (554 nucleotides) under uncultured bacterium. RNAcentral's name for it is "partial 16S ribosomal RNA". It matches the Rfam family "Bacterial small subunit ribosomal RNA", at positions 355 to 926 of the family's 1533-position model. The record is from RNAcentral.
UGGGGAAUCUUAGACAAUGGGCGCAAGCCUGAUCUAGCCAUGCCGCGCGGGUGAUGAAGGCCUUAGGGUCGUAAAGCCCUUUCGCCGGGGAAGAUAAUGACGGUACCCGGUAAAGAAACCCCGGCUAACUCCGUGCCAGCAGCCGCGGUAAUACGGAGGGGGUUAGCGUUGUUCGGAAUGACUGGGCGUAAAGCGCGCGUAGGCGGAUCAUCAAGUCGGGGGUGAAAUCCCGGGGCUCAACCCCGGAAUGGCCUUCGAGACUGGUGGUCUUGAGUUCGAGAGAGGUGAGUGGAAUUCCGAGUGUAGAGGUGAAAUUCGUAGAUAUUCGGAGGAACACCAGUGGCGAAGGCGGCUCACUGGCUCGAUACUGACGCUGAGGUGCGAAAGCGUGGGGGAGCAAACAGGAUUAGAUACCCUGGUAGUCCACGCCGUAAACGAUGAAUGCCAGACGUCGGGGGGCUUGCCCUUCGGUGUCACACCUAACGGAUUAAGCAUUCCGCCUGGGGAGUACGGUCGCAAGAUUAAAACUCAAAUGAAUUGACGGGGUCAUAGCU